Molecule: transfer RNA, 71 nt
Filed under: Candidatus Yanofskybacteria bacterium RIFCSPHIGHO2_01_FULL_39_44
Lineage: Bacteria; Candidatus Yanofskyibacteriota
Also listed under: 2 other names
Description: tRNA-Trp
Rfam family: tRNA
About the family: Transfer RNA (tRNA) molecules are approximately 80 nucleotides in length. Their secondary structure includes four short double-helical elements and three loops (D, anti-codon, and T loops). Further hydrogen bonds mediate the characteristic L-shaped molecular structure. tRNAs have two regions of fundamental functional importance: the anti-codon, which is responsible for specific mRNA codon recognition, and the 3' end, to which the tRNAs corresponding amino acid is attached (by aminoacyl-tRNA synthetases). tRNAs cope with the degeneracy of the genetic code in two manners: having more than one tRNA (with a specific anti-codon) for a particular amino acid; and 'wobble' base-pairing, i.e. permitting non-standard base-pairing at the 3rd anti-codon position.
Source: RNAcentral
GGGGGCUUAGUUAAAUGGUAUAAUAGGCGUCUCCAAAACGCCGGUUGGGGGUCCGAUUCCCUCAGCCCCCG